RNAcentral lists this long non-coding RNA (705 nucleotides) under Nicotiana benthamiana. RNAcentral describes it as "long non-coding RNA (NBEN_LNC039842)". The record is from RNAcentral. Lineage: Eukaryota; Viridiplantae; Streptophyta; Magnoliopsida; Solanales; Solanaceae.
GGCAUUGAAAGUUCGCUAGGCCGGACAGAUCGUCUUGUUUGAGUUACGGUCUCGUCACAAUAGGGCCGAGUCCACUAUUUUUUUAAAUUGGUAAACAAAGAGAGCAAGAAUGGGAAACGAGAAUUCUCACUACCCCCACGCCCCCCACCCCCUCGCAAAACAAAAAAAAAACAAAAAAGGUUCCGUUAUGAUAUUCUAUAUCUAAAUAUCUGCAUCCACGUGAUGUUGAUAUUAAAUCAAGUAAUUUGACCUUAACAGUUAAAAAUUAAAGUAAGAAAAUAUAUAAUUUAUUUAUAAUUAGGUUUAUGCACCAGACUAUUUUUUUAUUCAUAGCUAAGUGAUUAGUUUGCAUAUGAAAAAUAUGUGCCUUACUUCACCGAUUAGGUUAAUCCAUUCCGACUAAUCUAAUUAUCUAAAGACGAGGAGUGGUUGAAGAACAUCUUUCAGACUUGAUGUAUGUGUAAAUUUUUACUUUAUCAAAUUGACCGCCACGAUUUGGCUGAAUCGUCAUGAAUGCCUUCUAGUAGGGGUGUACAAAGGAAACUGACAAACCGCACCAACCCGAUAAUCUGAAUCAAACCGAGAAAAAAAAUACGAUCAUGGUUUGGUUUGAUUUGGUUUGGUAUUGGAAAAAAAAAAACCCAACCAUAAUUGGUUUGGUUUGGUUUGGUUUUAACUAAAGAAAGUCAAACCGAAACCAAACCN